Molecule: ribosomal RNA, 236 nt
Filed under: uncultured bacterium
Lineage: Bacteria
Description: partial 16S ribosomal RNA
Rfam family: Bacterial small subunit ribosomal RNA
Source: RNAcentral
CGAACGGGUGAGGAACGCGUGGACAACCUACCCCGGCGUGGGGGAUACCCGCCAGAAAUGGCGGCUAAUACCGCGUACGGUUCUCUGGCUUUGGGCUGGGGAAAGAAAGCAGUGAUGCGCGCUGGGAGGGGUCUGCGACCGAUUAGCUUGUUGGCGGGGUAACGGCCCACCAAGGCAGUGAUCGGUAGCUGGUCUGAGAGGAUGAUCAGCCACACGGGGACUGAGACACGGCCCCG